CACUUAUAGAUGGACCCGCGCCGUAUUAGCUAGUUGGUAAGGUAACGGCUUACCAAGGCAACGAUAUGUAGCCGACCUGAGAGGGUGAUCGGCCACACUGGAACUGAGACACGGUCCAGAGUCUUACGGGAGGCAGCAGUAGGGAAUCUUCCGCAAUGGGCGAAAGCCUGACGGAGCAACGCCGCGUGAGUGAUGAAGGUCUUAGGAUCGUAAAACUCUGUUGUUAGGGAAGAACAAAUUUGUUAGUAACUGAACAAGUCUUGACGGUACCUAACCAGAAAGCCACGGCUAACUACGUGCCAGCAGCCGCGGUAAUACGUAGGUGGCAAGCGUUAUCCGGAAUUAUUGGGCGUAAAGCGCGCGUAGGCGGUUUCUUAAGUCUGAUGUGAAAGCCCACGGCUCAACCGUGGAGGGUCAUUGGAAACUGGGGAACUUGAGUGCAGAAGAGGAGAGUGGAAUUCCAUGUGUAGCGGUGAAAUGCGCAGAGAUAUGGAGGAACACCAGUGGCGAAGGCGGCUCUCUGGUCUGUAACUGACGCUGAUGUGCGAAAGCGUGGGGAUCAAACAGGAUUAGAUACCCUGGUAGUCCACGCCGUAAACGAUGAGUGCUAAGUGUUAGGGGGUUUCCGCCCCUUAGUGCUGCAGCUAACGCAUUAAGCACUCCGCCUGGGGAGUACGACCGCAAGGUUGAAACUCAAAGGAAUUGACGGGGACCCGCACA
This 720-nucleotide ribosomal RNA is filed under the name Mammaliicoccus lentus. RNAcentral describes it as "bacterial SSU rRNA". It matches the Rfam family "Bacterial small subunit ribosomal RNA", at positions 216 to 927 of the family's 1533-position model. Lineage: Bacteria; Bacillati; Bacillota; Bacilli; Caryophanales; Staphylococcaceae. The record is from RNAcentral.